AUACUUACCUGGCAGGGGCGAUACAAUGAUCAAGAAGGUUGUUUGUCCAGGGCGAAUUCCUCAAAUGUAGGAAUCUCGACUGCACAAUUUCUGGUAGUGGGGAACUGCUUUCGAGCUCUCCCCCU
The sequence is a small nuclear RNA, 125 nucleotides long. Its record names the gene U1. It matches the Rfam family "U1 spliceosomal RNA". Rfam says of the family: U1 is a small nuclear RNA (snRNA) component of the spliceosome (involved in pre-mRNA splicing). Its 5' end forms complementary base pairs with the 5' splice junction, thus defining the 5' donor site of an intron. The record is from Ensembl.